CACAAUCCUCACAUAAACCUCCGAUGGCUUGGAGGUAAAGACUUGAAAACAAUCCAUCACUGUGAAGCAGCCUGACUGAGCAGUUCAUGCAAGCAGGACCAGCUCCAUAAAUCAACUCC
Salarias fasciatus (jewelled blenny) is the source of this 119-nucleotide long non-coding RNA. RefSeq lists it as uncharacterized. The record is from RefSeq and is a predicted model, not a curated record. NCBI's taxonomy places the organism in Eukaryota, Metazoa, Chordata, Actinopteri, Blenniiformes, Blenniidae. The transcript has 2 exons.